Molecule: ribosomal RNA, 427 nt
Filed under: uncultured Massilia sp.
Lineage: Bacteria; Pseudomonadati; Pseudomonadota; Betaproteobacteria; Burkholderiales; Oxalobacteraceae
Description: bacterial SSU rRNA
Rfam family: Bacterial small subunit ribosomal RNA
Source: RNAcentral
AGUGGGGAAUUUUGGACAAUGGGCGCAAGCCUGAUCCAGCAAUGCCGCGUGAGUGAAGAAGGCCUUCGGGUUGUAAAGCUCUUUUGUCAGGGAAGAAACGGGAUUGGCUAAUAUCUAGUCCUAAUGACGGUACCUGAAGAAUAAGCACCGGCUAACUACGUGCCAGCAGCCGCGGUAAUACGUAGGGUGCAAGCGUUAAUCGGAAUUACUGGGCGUAAAGCGUGCGCAGGCGGUUUUGUAAGUCUGUCGUGAAAGCCCCGGGCUCAACCUGGGAAUUGCGAUGGAGACUGCAAGGCUUGAAUCUGGCAGAGGGGGGUAGAAUUCCACGUGUAGCAGUGAAAUGCGUAGAGAUGUGGAGGAACACCGAUGGCGAAGGCAGCCCCCUGGGUCAAGAUUGACGCUCAUGCACGAAAGCGUGGGGAGCAAA